GACGAACGCUGGCGGCGUGCUUAACGCAUGCAAGUCGAACGGAAAGGCCCUGCUUUUGUGGGGUGCUCGAGUGGCGAACGGGUGAGUAACACGUGAGUAACCUGCCCUUGACUUUGGGAUAACUUCAGGAAACUGGGGCUAAUACCGGAUAGGAGCUCCUGCUGCAUGGUGGGGGUUGGAAAGUUUCGGCGGUUGGGGAUGGACUCGCGGCUUAUCAGUUUGUUGGUGGGGUAGUGGCUUACCAAGGCUUUGACGGGUAGCCGGCCUGAGAGGGUGACCGGCCACAUUGGGACUGAGAUACGGCACAGUCUACAACGGGAGGGAGCGGAGGGGAAUGUUGCACAAUGGGCGGAAGCAUGAUUCAGCAACGCCGCGUGCGGGGUAACGGCCUUCGGGUUGUAAACCGCUUUCGCCUGUGACGAAGCGUGAGUGACGGUAAUGGGUAAAGAAGCACCGGCUAACUACGUG
This 468-nucleotide ribosomal RNA is filed under the name uncultured bacterium. RNAcentral describes it as "partial 16S ribosomal RNA". It matches the Rfam family "Bacterial small subunit ribosomal RNA", at positions 28 to 507 of the family's 1533-position model. The record is from RNAcentral.